This 589-nucleotide long non-coding RNA is filed under the name Capsicum annuum. RNAcentral's name for it is "long non-coding RNA (CANN_LNC001236)". The record is from RNAcentral. Lineage: Eukaryota; Viridiplantae; Streptophyta; Magnoliopsida; Solanales; Solanaceae.
AAAAGUUCAAACGUGAUUUAUAAGAUCCUUAAUAUAAUAUAAUAGAGAUAGAGGUAUUGGGCUCCACAAACUUUCAACGUAAUUCAAACAAAUGUUGAGAAAUAAAAUGGGAUCCACGUGACAGAAAAGAUAACUUGAAAUUUGCGGUUAACCCAGAUCAGAGUAGAAUAUGGCUGCCUUUUUUUGUUCAAAAAUUCGAAGGUACAAUCAUAAGCUAAAAUUGUACAGUAUCUAUAAAACACCAGUGGUAAUAAAAUGUUGAAAAUACCCUUGCUAUAUAGAAUGACAAACAACACAUAUAUCGAUCAUCUAUGUAGAAGAAUGACAAAAACCACACAUAUCGAUCAUCAACUAUCUACUUCUUCACUCUUUUCAAUAGUUGCAAUACUUUCCUAAUGUUUCUUUUCUAUUUUAUUUUCAUGAGUAUUCUCCUAACAAGAUGUAUCUGUCAUUAACCAUUGUUCCUUAACAAAUUUCAGGGAAAACUAGAGUUUUGUCGAAAAGAUUUUGAGUAAUCAUAAAUUGUGAUAUUGAAAGGAUAUCACAAUAUCACAAAAAAAUAAAAUAAAAAAAAAUAGGGUAAAGCAAU